AGAGUUUGAUCAUGGCUCAGGAUGAACGCUGGCGGCGUGCCUAACACAUGCAAGUCGAACGUGAAGCUUGGUACUUGUAUCAGGCUGAAAGUGGCGAACGGGUGAGUAACACGUUGGUGACCUGCCCCGAGGAGAGGGAUAACUCCUUGAAAGAGGAGCUAAUACCUCAGAUGACUGGACAGUUAGAGGGUCCAGCCUAAAGCUCCGGUGUCUCGGGAGGGGCCUGCGGGCUAUCAGCUAGUUGGUGGGGUAAGAGCCUACCAAGGCGAAGACGGCUAGGGGGCGUGAGAGCGUGACCCCCCACAAGGGAACUGAGAAACGGUCCCUACUCCUACGGGAGGCAGCAGUGAGGAAUAUUGAGCAAUGGGCGCAAGCCUGACUCAGCAACGCCGCGUGGAUGAAGAAGGCCUUCGGGUUGUAAAAUCCUUUUCUGAGGGACGAUAAUGACGGUACCUC
Molecule: ribosomal RNA, 456 nt
Filed under: uncultured Caldilineaceae bacterium
Lineage: Bacteria; Bacillati; Chloroflexota; Caldilineae; Caldilineales; Caldilineaceae
Description: bacterial SSU rRNA
Rfam family: Bacterial small subunit ribosomal RNA
Source: RNAcentral